RNAcentral lists this ribosomal RNA (483 nucleotides) under Triticum aestivum (bread wheat). RNAcentral describes it as "partial small subunit ribosomal RNA". Lineage: Eukaryota; Viridiplantae; Streptophyta; Magnoliopsida; Poales; Poaceae. The record is from RNAcentral.
AUGGAGCCCCAGGCGAGGACGUCGACGAGGUUGAAGCCGACGGGGUCGUUGGACUUGAGGAUGCCGGCGAACUCCUUGGCGCGCUCGUCGCCGGCCUCGAAGUGGGUCUUGCCGUUCUGCUCGGGGACCUGCUUCGCCACGUUCUCCCGCUGGAAGUUGAAGAAGACGAAGCGGCCCAUCACCAGCGACAGCCCCGUGCUGAGGCUGAUCACCACCGACGGCUCCAGCGCCGCCCGCGCCGCCACGGACCGCCUCGCCGCCGACGACGAGGCCCCCCGGAACGAGACGGCCGCGCGCGGGGACGGCGCCAGGCGGAGCCCGGCCACGGUGGGCGGGGACAGCACGGCGGCGGUCGAGGCGGCCAUGGUCCUCCUCCUUCGCUGGAGCUGUGUGGGUGCUCAAGCUCAAGGACCAACGCGCGGCGAGUUCUUGAUCUCGGUAGGCGCUACGUACUACGUGGUGUUUGGUGUUGUGGGUAUAUAG